This 391-nucleotide ribosomal RNA is filed under the name uncultured Rickettsia sp. RNAcentral's name for it is "bacterial SSU rRNA". It matches the Rfam family "Bacterial small subunit ribosomal RNA", at positions 46 to 451 of the family's 1533-position model. Lineage: Bacteria; Pseudomonadati; Pseudomonadota; Alphaproteobacteria; Rickettsiales; Rickettsiaceae. The record is from RNAcentral.
GCUUAACACAUGCAAGUCGAACGGACUAAUUGGGGCUUGCUCCAAUUAGUUAGUGGCAGACGGGUGAGUAACACGUGGGAAUCUACCCAUCAGUACGGAAUAACUUUUAGAAAUAAAAGCUAAUACCGUAUAUUCUCUACGGAAAAAAGAUUUAUCGCUGAUGGAUGAGCCCGCGUCAGAUUAGGUAGUUGGUGAGGUAACGGCUCACCAAGCCGACGAUCUGUAGCUGGUCUGAGAGGAUGAUCAGCCACACUGGGACUGAGACACGGCCCAGACUCCUACGGGAGGCAGCAGUGGGGAAUAUUGGACAAUGGGCGAAAGCCUGAUCCAGCAAUACCGAGUGAGUGAUGAAGGCCUUAGGGUUGUAAAGCUCUUUUAGCAAGGAAGAUAA